CGAACGAGAGAAGAGAGGCUUGCUUUUCUGAUCUAGUGGCGGACGGGUGAGUAACACGUGAGCAAUCUGCCUUUCAGAGGGGGAUACCGAUUGGAAACGAUCGUUAAUACCGCAUAACAUAAUUGAACCGCAUGAUUUGAUUAUCAAAGAUUUAUCGCUGAAAGAUGAGCUCGCGUCUGAUUAGCUGGUUGGUAAGGUAACGGCUUACCAAGGCGACGAUCAGUAGCCGGACUGAGAGGUUGAUCGGCCACAUUGGGACUGAGACACGGCCCAGACUCCUACGGGAGGCAGCAGUGGGGAAUAUUGCACAAUGGAGGAAACUCUGAUGCAGCGAUGCCGCGUGAGGGAAGAAGGUUUUAGGAUUGUAAACCUCUGUCUUCAGGGACGAAAAAAUGACGGU
This 400-nucleotide ribosomal RNA is filed under the name uncultured bacterium. RNAcentral describes it as "bacterial SSU rRNA". It matches the Rfam family "Bacterial small subunit ribosomal RNA", at positions 63 to 476 of the family's 1533-position model. The record is from RNAcentral.